UACGUAGGGUGCGAGCGUUAAUCGGAAUUACUGGGCGUAGAGCGUGCGCAGGCGGUGGUGCAAGACAGAUGUGAAAUCCCCGGGCUCAACCUGGGAACUGCAUUUGUGACUGCACGGCUGGAGUGCGGCAGAGGGGGAUGGAAUUCCGCGUGUAGCAGUGAAAUGCGUAGAUAUGCGGAGGAACACCGAUGGCGAAGGCAAUCCCCUGGGCCUGCACUGACGCUCAUGCACGAAAGCGUGGGGAGCAAACAGG
Molecule: ribosomal RNA, 253 nt
Filed under: uncultured bacterium
Lineage: Bacteria
Description: partial 16S ribosomal RNA
Rfam family: Bacterial small subunit ribosomal RNA
Source: RNAcentral